GAUGAACGCUGGCGGCGUGCUUAACACAUGCAAGUCGAACGAAGCACUUUAUUUGAUUUCCUUCGGGACUUAUUAUUUUGUGACUGAGUGGCGGACGGGUGAGUAACUCGUGGGUAACCUGCCUUGUACAGGGGGAUAACAGUUGGAAACGGCUGCUAAUACCCCAUAAGCGCACAGCAUCGCAUGAUGCAGUGUGAAAAACUCCGGUGGUAUAAGAUGUACCCGCGUUGGAUUAGCUAGUUGGUGAGGUAACGGCCCACCAAGGCGACGAUCCAUAGACGACAUGAGAGGGUGACCCGACACAUUGGGACUGGGACACGGCCCAAACUCCUACGGGAGGCAGCAGUGGGGAAUAUUGCACAAUGGGCGAAAGCCUGAUGCAGCGACGCCGCGUGAGCGAAGAAGUAUUUCAGGAUGUAAAGCACUAUCAGCAGGGAAGAUAAUGACGGUACCUGAAUAAGAAGCACCGGCUAAAUACGUG
Molecule: ribosomal RNA, 481 nt
Filed under: uncultured bacterium
Lineage: Bacteria
Description: partial 16S ribosomal RNA
Rfam family: Bacterial small subunit ribosomal RNA
Source: RNAcentral